Molecule: long non-coding RNA, 597 nt
Filed under: Ursus maritimus (polar bear)
Lineage: Eukaryota; Metazoa; Chordata; Mammalia; Carnivora; Ursidae
Description: lncRNA (ENSUMAG00000003923.1)
Source: RNAcentral
AAUUUGAUGCGGGGCUUGAUCCCAGGACCCUGAGAUCUUGACCUGAGCUGAAAGGCAGACACCUCACUGACGGAGCUACCCAGGCGUCCCAACACUUGCCCUGUCUUUGUCCUGUUCUUCUUUUCCUCUCUUUCCCCACAUCUUCUUACUCGGUUCGAGAGGUCAGCGAAGAUUCACUAAGCAACUGUCGGGAUUACUUCACUGGGCACGUGUCUGUGUUGUGAGGUCACUGUUGGUUUGGAACCAGGAAUGCAGGGGGCAGGGCCUGUGUUCUGGUGGUGACAUGCCCGUGUUCCAGCAGCGUGACACCCGGACCCGGAGCUCGGCUUGCACUGGGAUUUGAAGCCGGGGAGGAAGUGUGCUGCAGGAGGAUUCCAGAGGAGAAGAGCUUCCUAAGCACGAGAACAUUCCCCGUAAGGAGCAGGAUUCUGUUUUUUAUGCCAAAGAGGGAAAGAAGAAAAUGCUGGUGGAACCGUUCAUGCAAAGCGGCUCAGAAGGCGAUGUGUAUAAAGCCCAGACGCCUCACACGGAAACCCAAGGAGCACCGGAAGUCAAAGAGGACAAGGACGUGCAGGUGGAGGUGCCCGUGGACCAGGU